GCCGGGCAUGGUGGCGCGUGCCUGUAAUCCCAGCUACUCAGGAGGCUGAGGCAGAAGAAUCGCUUGAACCCGGGAGCCAGAGGUUGCAGUGAGCUGAGAUCAUGCCACUGUACUUCAGCCUGGGCGAUAGAGUAAGACUCUGUCUUCA
This is an unclassified non-coding RNA of Callithrix jacchus (white-tufted-ear marmoset), 148 nucleotides long. It matches the Rfam family "Metazoan signal recognition particle RNA". From Rfam's summary of the family: The signal recognition particle (SRP) is a universally conserved ribonucleoprotein. NCBI's taxonomy places the organism in Eukaryota, Metazoa, Chordata, Mammalia, Primates, Cebidae. The record is from Ensembl.